RNA transcript from Ipomoea triloba (trilobed morning glory), 3777 nucleotides. It is a transcript of the gene named transcriptional repressor ILP1, with no coding region annotated. The transcript is spliced from 9 exons. Lineage: Eukaryota; Viridiplantae; Streptophyta; Magnoliopsida; Solanales; Convolvulaceae. The record is from RefSeq and is a predicted model, not a curated record.
UUGGGAUUCCCGUUGUUCUUCUUCUUCUUCUCUCAUCUUUGACCCUAGAGGCUGGAGUAGCCUGACGAGAAUACAGCCACCGAAAAAGGGCACCACAGAGACAUGAGCGGAAAAGCCAGAAAUUUUCGCCGCCGCGGCGGAGACGACGAUGACGGAGAUGAAACGCCGGCGUUCAUCGCACCUAAUGGCAACUCCACACAAUCCCAAGCCAAACCCGUCGCCAGUUCCGGCAAGCCGAAAAAAUCUUCAACGCUAGCUCCCAAGAGCCUCCUUAGCUUUGCAGAUGACGAAGAGUCCGAAGAUUCGCCUUUCACUCGCCCUUCUAGACCCUCCUCCUCGAGCUCUAGGCUCGCCAGGCCAUCGUCUUCUCACAAGCUGUGCUCAGUAAUAAAAGGGAGAAGUGCCCUAGCGCCUUCUCUCCCCUCCAAUGUGCAGCCCCAAGCUGGUACCUACACCAAAGAAGCUCUCCUUGAGCUCCAGAAGAACACCAAAACCCUAGCUGGUUCCCGCCCUACUCAGCCGAAACCAAAACCAAAACCUGAGUCAAUGGAGCCUGUAAUUGUAUUGAAGGGGCUUGUUAAACCAGCGGCUUCUGUAGACCCGGAGAUGGAAAAGGGACGUGAUAGUGAAGAUGAUGAAGCGAGGGUUGAUAGACAGGGUGGGUCUGUGGGAAUAGAUAGAGAGGAUACUGUGAACCGGCUCAAUUCAAUGGGGUUGGGGAAGGUCUUGAGGGCAACUGAUGAUAUUGGGCCAGAGAUACCAGACCAGGCAAUGAUAGAUGCCAUAAGAGCGAAGCGGGAGAGACUCAGGCAAGCUCGGGCAGCUGCCCCUGACUAUAUUGCAUUAGAUGGAGGAAGUAAUCAUGGGGAAACUGAUGGUUUGAGUGAUGAGGAGCCAGAGUUUCAAGGGAGAAUUGGUUUUUUUGGGGAAAAAAUUGAUAGUGGAAAGAGGGGAGUCUUUGAAGAUUAUGAGGAUAAGUCCGGGCAGAAGGAUGUUGGAGAUGAUAGUGUGUAUAGUGAGGAUGAAGAGGAUAAAAUUUGGGAAGAAGAGCAGGUGAGGAAGGGCCUGGGAAAGAGGAUGGAUGAUGGUUCUAGUAGAGGAGUGAGUAGUAGUGGUAAUGGUGUCAACAGUAUCCCUGUGGUUCAGAGUGUUCAGCAGACAAAGUUUGGAUAUCCAAUUGCAGGAGCUAGUGUAUAUUCCUCCGCUCAGACAGUUGUUGCUCCUGUUGUUAGUCCUAAUAUUACAGGAGCAGCUGGGGGCUGGCCUGGUUCAAAUGCUAUCUCAAUUUCACAGCAAGCUGAGCUUGCCAAGAAAGCUUUGCAUGAGAAUGUGUGUAGGCUUAAGGAAUCUCAUGCCCGGACUGUGGCAUCCUUGUCCAAGACUGAAGAAAAUUUGUCUUCUUCAUUGUCAAAUGUGACUACUUUGGAAAAUUCUUUAGCUGCUGCUGGUGAAAAGUACAUCUUUAUGCAAAACCUUCGCGACUUUGUUUCUGUUAUAUGUUCAUUUCUGCAGGAGAAAGCUCCUUACAUAGAGGAACUAGAAGACCAGAUGCAGAAGCUUCAUAAAGCACGAGCAGAAGCCAUUUUAGAAAGAAGGGUUGCCAAUAAUGAAGAUGAAAUGAGAGAACUAGAAGAUGCUAUCAGUGCUGCAAAGCAAGUUUUUAGUGAACGUGGUAGCAGUGCGGCAACAAUAGUUGCUGCAAAAGAAGCUGCUUUAAGAGCUGCUGCUGAGGCAAGAAGGCUAAGGGACUUACCUGUAAAGCUAGAUGAAUUUGGUAGAGAUUUGAAUCAACAAAAGCGAAUGGAUAUGGCAAGGAGAGAAAAGGCUCGAGAACAUAGGAGAGCAAAAUCUGAUACUAAAAGAAUGUCAACCAUCGAAAAUGACAGUUCCUAUCAGCGGGUAGAAGGUGAAUCAAGCACUGAUGAAAGUGACAGUGAGAGUACAGCCUACAGGUCAAACCGUGAUCAAUUGCUUCAGGUUGCUGAAGAGAUAUUCAGUGACACAAAUGAUGAAUACUCUCAACUAGCAGUGGUUGUUGACAAGUUUGAGAGAUGGAAGAAAGGUUAUUCUUCAAGUUAUCGUGAUGCUUAUAUGUCUCUAAGCAUUCCUGCUAUUCUCUCUCCCUAUGUCAGAUUGGAGCUUUUGAAAUGGGAUCCAUUGCAUAAAGAUGCAGAUUUUAUGGAUAUGAAAUGGCAUUCUUUACUCUUCAAUUAUGGACUUCCUGAACAUGAUAGUGAAUUUAGCUCUGAUGAUGCUGAUGCCAACCUCAUUCCUCAGCUUGUUGAAAAGCUUGCAAUUCCUAUCCUUCACAAUCAUUUAGCACACUGUUGGGACAUGCUUAGCACUCGAGAAACAGAAUAUGCUGUCUCUGCCAUUAACUUGGUGUUUAGAUAUGUCCCCUUGUCUAGUUCGGCUCUUGGUGAUUUGGUAGCUGUUUUGCGUAACCGUCUUGCUGAUGCUGUGGCUAAGUUGGUGGUUCCCAAGUGGGAUUCAAUUCUAAUGAAGGCUGUACCAAAUGCAGCUCGUAUUGCAGCAUAUAGGUUCGGCAUGUCUGUUCGUUUAAUGAGAAAUAUAUGCUUGUGGAAUAAUGUUCUUGCAAUGCCUGUCUUGGAGAAGCUUGCUCUUGAUGAACUCUUAAGCGGAAAGAUUCUUCCACACCUUCGGAACAUUCAAUCAGACAUUGAUGAUGCAAUUACAAGAACUGAGAGGAUUGUUGCUUCAUUGUAUGGUGUCUGGGCUGGUCCAAGUGUCAUUGGCGAUCACAGUCCAAAGUUGCAACCACUGGUUGAUUAUUUGUUAGCACUAAGUAGAAUGUUGGAGAAGAAGCAUUUAUCAACUGGAGCAGAGUUAGAGACUGGAAAACUUGCUCGUAGACUAAAAAAGAUGCUGGUUGACCUCAAUGAAUAUGAUCAUGCCAGGGAAAUUUCAAGAACCUUUAAUAUCAAGGAGGCUUUAUGAUUUGUUUCUUCUGCCACAGGUAUAUGUAGAAAUAGUGUUGAAUGUAAGGAAGUUGAAGAGAAAAGCAACAUUCCAAGAAUUCAGAGAUGUUUAUCUGUGGCACCAUGGAAUUUAGUAAAUGCCAGUUUCUCCUGCAGUCCUGUGGAUGUGCCAUCUUUAGGAAAUGCCAAGUUGAGUUCUCACCUUCACAAAUGGGAGCAGACAAUAAUCAAAGUAGUCAGAGAGUAUGUUAUAAAUAUUGAUUGAGGAUGACAGUAGGAAAAAGCAGUUAGUAUCACAAGAAGAAAAUUGGAAAGAAGGGAAAGCAUUUAUGAAUGAUGAUCAACAGAAAAGUGCACCAUUGUAAUAGCAGGAGCUUGGCUGCAUGCCUGCCUGCCUGCCCACAAAAAGAAUCAACAGAAACUGCAAUCAUUUUGACAUUCUGUUGCAUGAGUGAUCCUCGCGCCGGUAGUGCAUGAUGAAGAAAGGAAAUGAGAUGAGAGGGUGAAAGGCAGGAGAAGAAGCAAUUGCUUUGCCAAAGCUUGGGGCAUGCAUUUCUUGAUUCAAACUGCCCUGCCAAACAAUGGAACAUACACACCGCAGGUUACUGCUUAGAAUUACAAGGCAAUGAAAAAUUCUACUACUGAACAAGGGGUGGGGUUGUUUUUACUGUACUAACUUAUUCUUAGAUUUCUAAAAUUUACCCACCCCUACACACCAAAGAUUUCUUCUCCCAUCAAUGCUAGUGCUGCACUGCUGCCCGUGUAAUUGAACCGUUUCCCCAAUACAAUACAAUCCUGGAUAAUAUAAUACAUAUACGGAGUUAUAUUUCUAAUUUUA